This 342-nucleotide unclassified non-coding RNA is filed under the name soil metagenome. RNAcentral's name for it is "partial contains 5.8S ribosomal RNA, internal transcribed spacer 2, and large subunit ribosomal RNA". The stretch from base 1 to 120 matches the Rfam family "5.8S ribosomal RNA", at positions 35 to 154 of the family's 154-position model. The record is from RNAcentral.
GAUGAAGAACGUAGCGAAAUGCGAUAAGUAAUGUGAAUUGCAGAAUUCAGUGAAUCAUCGAAUCCUUGAACGCACAUUGCGCCCGCCAGCACUCUGGCGGGCAUGCCUGUUCGAGCGUCAUUUCAACCAUCAAGCCCCCAGGGGCUUGUGCUGGGGCCCUGCGGCUGCCCGCAGGCCCUGAAAACCAGUGGCGGGCUCGCUAGUCACACCGAGCGCAGUAGCACAUCUCGCUCAGGGCGUGCGGCGGGCUCCUGCCGUGAAACCCCCCACUGUAACCCCAAAGGUUGACCUCGGAUCAGGUAGGAAUACCCGCUGAACUUAAGCAUAUCAAUAAGCGGAGGA